Molecule: long non-coding RNA, 1026 nt
Filed under: Marmota monax (woodchuck)
Lineage: Eukaryota; Metazoa; Chordata; Mammalia; Rodentia; Sciuridae
Source: RNAcentral
UCAGGUAUAGGGUGAGAGUUAAAAUUAGAGAUAGGGCUAGAGUUAGGGUUUGGCAUAGCAUUAAGGCUAGGUAUAGGCCUAAGAUGAGGACUAGUGUUUGUGUUAGGGUUAGGGCUAGGAUUAGGACUGGUGCUAAUGUCAGGUCUGGUUUUAUGGUUAUGGUUAGUUUUAGGGUUAUUCUAUGGCUAGCUCUAGUGUAAGGGUUAAGAUUAGGUUAAGGGUCAGGUUUAAAUCUAGGUGUAUUAUUAGGGUCAGGGUACGAGUAGGGUUUGGUUUAGGUUAAGAUUUAGGGUUAAGCUUUGAAUUAGCUUUACCAAUAAGUUUAGGGUCUGGGUUAGGGUAAUUGAUAGGGUUAGGUUAAUGGUUCUGGUUAGGUUUAGAGUAAGGAAUAGGGUUAGUGUUAGCAAUAGUGUUACCGUUAGGCCUAGGGUUAGCAUUUGGCUUAGGCUUAUCUUUAGGGUAAUGGGUAGGGUUAGAGAUAAGGUUAGGGCUAUGGAUGAGGUUAGAAUUAGUAAUAGGGUUAGGUUUAGGCCUAGGGUUAGGGUCUGAGUUAGUUUUGGGGUAAGUGUUAGUGUUUGAGCCAGGAUCAGGGCUAGCGUGAGGGUUAGGGUUAGAGUGAGGACUAAUGUUCGGAUUAGCGUUAGGGUUAUGUUUAGAUUAAAGUUAGAGUUUGAGUUAGAAUUAGGGAUACGGUGAGGGUUAGGUUUAGGGUUAGGUCUAGGCUUAUGGUUAGGGUUACAAUAGAGUUAGUGUUUACUUUAGGAUUAUGGCUAGGAUAAGGGCAAUGGUUUGUGUGAUGUUUAUGGGUAUCAUUAGGGGUAUGGGUAAUGUAAGAGCUAAAGAUAUGGUUAUGGCUAGUUUUAGGGUUAGCGUUAUGGAUAAGUCCAGUGUUCUACUUAGGUUUUGGGUUAGGAUAAGAUUUAGAGCUAGGGUUUGUUUUAGGGUAACUGUCAUUGUAGGGUUAGGUUUAGGUUUAGGGUGAGGGCCAGAUUUAUGGCUAGCGUUGGGUCUAGGGAUAGAGUUAGU